Non-coding RNA from Vicugna pacos (alpaca), 430 nucleotides. Lineage: Eukaryota; Metazoa; Chordata; Mammalia; Artiodactyla; Camelidae. The record is from RefSeq and is a predicted model, not a curated record.
UUAUAUAGCAAUAGAUAAUGAAUAUGUUGUGCAAGAAAAUGAAAGGCAAAGGAAUUAUUCCAAAUUAAAAGAGACUAAAAGAACACGGCAACCAAAGGCUGCGUUCCCACUGAUAAUCCCAUUAGGUCACCCUGAUUGGUCCCUGAAUCUCACCUGCAAGCCACCUGAAGCAAUCAUUUUGAGAGUGAAUACAGGCAGUUCUCACACACACUUGAAUGAUGUAUGAUGAGAAAUGAUGGGAGACUGGUUUGCCGUACCUUCUCACUCCACGUGUCCAGCUACACCUACCACACAAGGAGCGGAAGAGGCUCUUAGGCACCUGACUAGCUUUCAGAGAAGAGGGUACAUCACUGAGGUGGCAGGAGAAACGCUGAAGUCAUUUCAGCCGUGGAAUGGACCAAAGAUGCUGGAUACAAAAUUUGACAGGUGC